AUACGGAGGGUGCAAGCGUUAUUCGGAAUCACUGGGCGUAAAGGACGCGUAGGCGGGUUGGCAAGUCAGAUGUGAAAUCCUACAGCUUAACUGUAGAACUGCAUUUGAAACUGCUAACCUAGAGUAUGGGAGGGGGAGAUGGAAUUAGUGGUGUAGGGGUAAAAUCCGUAGAUAUCACUAGGAAUACCGAAAGCGAAGGCGAUCUCCUGGAACAUAACUGACGCUAAGGCGUGAAAGCGUGGGGAGCAAACAGGAUAGAAACCCUAGUAGUCC
This 273-nucleotide ribosomal RNA is filed under the name uncultured bacterium. RNAcentral describes it as "partial 16S ribosomal RNA". It matches the Rfam family "Bacterial small subunit ribosomal RNA", at positions 523 to 796 of the family's 1533-position model. The record is from RNAcentral.